Molecule: long non-coding RNA, 391 nt
Organism: Musa acuminata AAA Group (dessert banana)
Lineage: Eukaryota; Viridiplantae; Streptophyta; Magnoliopsida; Zingiberales; Musaceae
Exons: 3
Source: RefSeq, a predicted model, not a curated record
AAAGUGGGUCAUUAAAGGAGCUAUAGAUAGACGUAGAUAUCGGUGCUAAUCCUUCUCAAGAAGGCGGCGAAGAAGAUGAAGGAUUUGAUGAUACUGCUGUCAAAGUGGUUGAUAUUGUUGACACCUUCAAGCUCCAGGAACAACCUUCUUUUGACCAGAAGCAAUUUGUGACGUAUAUUAAGCGUUAUAUCAAGUUGUUGACACCUAAAUUGGAAUGGGAGAAGCAGGAGUUAUUUUAGAAGCACAUUGAGCAAUCUACCAAGUUUUUGCUCUCAAAGCUCAGUGACCUACAAUUAUUUGUUGGUGAAAGCAUGCAUGAUGAUGGUAGUAUGGUCUUUGCCUAUUACAAGGAGGGUGCUGCUGAUCCAACAUUUCUGUACUUUGCCUAGGG